This 460-nucleotide ribosomal RNA is filed under the name uncultured bacterium. RNAcentral's name for it is "partial 16S ribosomal RNA". It matches the Rfam family "Bacterial small subunit ribosomal RNA", at positions 338 to 795 of the family's 1533-position model. The record is from RNAcentral.
CCUACGGGAGGCAGCAGUGAGGAAUAUUGGUCAAUGGACGAGAGUCUGAACCAGCCAAGUAGCGUGAAGGAUGACUGCCCUCUGGGUUGUAAACUUCUUUUAUAUGGGAAUAAAAUGUUCCACGUGUGGGAUUUUGUAUGUACCAUCUGAAUAAGGAUCGGCUAACUCCGUGCCAGCAGCCGCGGUAAUACGGAGGAUCCGAGCGUUAUCCGGAUUUAUUGGGUUUAAAGGGAGCGUAGGUGGAUUGUUAAGUCAGUUGUGAAAGUUUGCGGCUCAACCGUAAAAUUGCAGUUGAAACUGGCAGUCUUGAGAACAGUAGAGGUGGGCGGAAUUCGUGGUGUAGCGGUGAAAUGCUUAGAUAUCACGAAGAACUCCGGUUGCGAAGGCAGUUCACUGGACUGCAACUGACACUGAGGCUCGAAAGUGUGGGUAUCAAACAGGAUUAGAUACCCCUGUAGUC